RNAcentral lists this ribosomal RNA (961 nucleotides) under uncultured bacterium. RNAcentral's name for it is "bacterial SSU rRNA". It matches the Rfam family "Bacterial small subunit ribosomal RNA", at positions 10 to 977 of the family's 1533-position model. The record is from RNAcentral.
AGUUUGAUCAUGGCUCAGAGCGAACGCUGGCGGCGUGCUUAACACAUGCAAGUCGAGUGCGCGUCCGUAGCAAUACGGAUGGCGCACGGCGCACGGGUGCGUAACACGUGGGCAAUCUGCCCUCGGAUGGGGGAUAACCCCGCGAAAGCGGGGCUAAUACCGCAUGACAUUCCGACGACUCCGGUCGUUGGAUUCAAAGGCCGCAAGGCCGUCUGAGGAGGAGCCCGCGCCCGAUUAGCUUGUUGGCGAGGUAACGGCUCACCAAGGCAAUGAUCGGUAGCCGGUCUGAGAGGAUGGCCGGCCACACUGGAACUGAGACACGGUCCAGACUCCUACGGGAGGCAGCAGUGGGGAAUAUUGCGCAAUGGGCGAAAGCCUGACGCAGCGACGCCGCGUGGGGGAUGAAGCUUCUCGGAGUGUAAACCCCUUUCGACCCGGACGAAUGACCCGCAAGGGUUUGACGGUACGGGUAUAAGAAGCCCCGGCUAACUACGUGCCAGCAGCCGCGGUAAUACGUAGGGGGCCAGCGUUGCUCGGAAUUACUGGGCGUAAAGGGUUCGUAGGCGGCGCGGCAAGUCGGGAGUGAAAUCUCUGGGCUUAACUCAGAGGCUGCUUUCGAAACUGCCGUGCUCGAGUGCGAGAGAGGCCAGUGGAAUUGCAGGUGUAGCGGUGAAAUGCGUAGAUAUCUGCAGGAACACCCGUGGCGAAGGCGGCUGGCUGGAUCGCAACUGACGCUGAGGAACGAAAGCUAGGGGAGCAAACAGGAUUAGAUACCCUGGUAGUCCUAGCCCUAAACCAUCAGACUUGGGGUGGCCCGCGUAGGCGGGUCGUCCCGUAGCUAACGCGUUAAGUCCUGCGCCUGGGGAGUACGGUCGCAAGACUGAAACUCGAAGAAUUGACGGGGCCCGCACAAGCGGUGGAACACGUGUUCAAUUCGACGCAACGCGAAGAACCUUACCUG